AAUAUUUGACAAUGGGCGAAAGCCUGAUCCAGCCCCGCCGCUUGUGUGAAGAAGGUUNNNGGAUUNUAAAGCACUUUAAGUUGNGAGNAAGGGCAGUAAGUUAAUAUCUUGCUGUUUUGACGUUACCGUCAGAAUAACCACCGGCUUACUUCGUGCCAGCAGCCGUGGUAAUUAGAAGGGUGCAAGCGUUAAUCGGAAUUUGUGGGUGUAAAGCGAGCGUAGGUGGGUCGUUAAGUUGGAUGUGAAAGCCCCGGGCUCAACCUGGGAACUGCAUCCAAAACUGGCGAGCUAGAGUACGGUAGAGGGUGGUGGAAUUUCCUGUGUAGCGGUGAAAUGCGUAGAUAUAGGAAGGAACACCAGUGGCGAAGGCGACCACCUGGACUGAUACUGACACUGAGGUGCGAAAGCGUGGGGAGCAAACAGG
Molecule: ribosomal RNA, 424 nt
Filed under: uncultured bacterium
Lineage: Bacteria
Description: partial 16S ribosomal RNA
Rfam family: Bacterial small subunit ribosomal RNA
Source: RNAcentral